Molecule: antisense RNA, 508 nt
Filed under: Streptomyces sp. NRRL F-5122
Lineage: Bacteria; Bacillati; Actinomycetota; Actinomycetes; Kitasatosporales; Streptomycetaceae
Description: Saccharopolyspora sRNA 350
Rfam family: Saccharopolyspora sRNA 350
Source: Rfam by way of RNAcentral
CGAGCCGUGUACUCCCAGAUGGCGUCAGGGUCGAGCAGUGCCUGCUCGCCGAAGUACGCGCCGUCGGCGAGCACCCCGAGCACCGCGUCGUCCCCGUAGGGUCCCGUACCGAGUUUCUCGACCCUGCCGUGCGCGAGGAGGAACACCUCGUCCGCCUGGCUGCCGAACUCGGCGAGCACGUCGCCCGGCGCGAACCUCCGCUGCUGGCACCGCCGGGCGAGUUCGCCGAGCACCUCCAGGUCCUCGUACUCGCGCAGCGCGGGCAGUUCGCCCAGCUCGGCCGGGAUGACCGUGACCUGGUCGCCGGUCUUCACGAACGUCACGCGGCCGUCGCCCACCGAGUAGGCCAGACGGCGGUUCACACGGUACGCACCACCCUGUACGUCCACCCACGGCAGCAUGCGCAGCAGCCACCGUGAGCUGAUCUCCUGCAUCUGUGGUGCGGACUUGGUGGUGGUGGCCAGGUUCCGCGCGGCCGUGGUGCCGAGACUCUGCUGCGGCUUGUUGC